GACACAAAGUUGCAGAGGAGGGUCAACCAGGACAGCUCCACAGGAUCCAAAGACUUGAGAAAUUCAGGGGAAAUAGCUUUUUUGGUACUGUUCUGGUGUUAGUUCAAGCAGAAUAGAGGAUCUGUAUACCUUUUACCUGGAAGAACAGUUUCACUGUGUUGCAGUGGCAAUUUUAAGAUGCCACUGUGGUUUCUUAGUAUUAGAAUUAUUUAUGGAGUCAGACGACCAGUCAACAAAAUUUUUGAGGAGAGAAAAAAAUUAGGACAAGAAAGCAUAAAUUGCAAAUAAGGUAAGAAAAGUAAAUAAUUACAUUCAUUCAUCCAUCCUCCACUGCUUAUCCAAGUUGGGUCGCGGGGGCAGUAGCUUUAGAAGAGAUGUCCAGACUUCCCUUUACCCAGACACUUCAUCCAGCACUUCUGGGGGGAUCCUGAAGCAUUCCCAGGCAAGCAGAGAAAAGUGUGUCCUGGAUCGUCCCUGAGGUCUCUUUUUAGUAGCACAUGCCCGGAACACCUCACCAGGGAGGCGCCCAUGAGGCAUCCGAUUUAGAUGCCCCAGCCACCUUAUCUGACUCCUCAAUGCGGAGGAUCAGCGGCUCCCACUCUGACCCGCUUCCCUGAUGACCGGCCUUCUUUAAGGGAGAGCCCAGACACAAUGGGGAAGAGACUCAUUCGGCCACUUGUAUGUAGGAUCUGGUUCUUUCAGUCAUGUUCUAAAGCUCAUGACCACAGGUGAGGCUGGGAAUGUAGAUCGACCGGUAAAUUGAGCGCUUCACUUUUCGACUUACAGUACCUCUUUCUUUACCACAACAGACUGAUACAAAGCCGCAUCACUGGAGAUGCUACACCGAUCGGCCUGUCAAUCUCCUGCCACAUUCUUCCCUCAUUCAUGAACAAGACCCCAAGAUACUUGAACUCCUCUACUUGGGGCAGGAUCUUAUCCCAACCUGCAGACGGCAUGCCACGUUUUUCUGAGGACCAUGGUCUCAGAUUUGGAGGGAAUCGCUCCAGUGAGAGAUGGAGAUCAUGGCUUGAUGAAGACGACAAAACCACAUCUGCAAAAAGGAUACAUGCAAUAAUGAGGCCACUAAAGCGGCCAUCCUCUACGCCUCAGCAGCACCUUGAGAUUUUGUCCAUAAAAAUAACAAUCGGCUACAAAAAGCUGAUGCUCUCCAUACAACGACUGAACAGCCCAUGUCAGGGAGUUCAAUACCCCAUACUCCCGAGCCAUUCCCCCAUAGGACUCCCUGAGGGACACAGUCAAACACCUUUUCCAAGGCGACAAAACACAUGUAGACUGGUUAGGCAAACUCCCAUGUACCAUCAAGGACCCUACCCAAAGUGUAGAGCUGGUCCACUGUUCCACCUCUCGGACAAAAACCACACUAGUGCUCCUGAAUCUGAGAUUUGAUUUCCUGACUCAGCCUCUUCUUCAGCAACCCUCAAUAGACCUUACCAGGAAGGCUCAGGACUGUGAUCCCUCUAUAGUUAGAACACACACUGAGGUCCCCUUCUCACAAAGAGGGAGCACCACCGCAGUCUAGAGUCACUCUCCCUAAUUUCCAUGGGACAUUUCAGAGCAGUGUCCACCACAACAGCCCCACAACAUCCAGAGCCUUUACGAACUCUGGAUGAAUCUCAUCCACCCCCGGAGUCUUCCCAACGAGGACCUUAUUAACCACUCGGUGACCUCAACUGGAGACACAGAAAAGCCCACCUCAGAGAACCCAGACUCUUCUUCCUCUUGGAAAGGUGUGUAGGUGGAAUUGAGGAGGCAAUUAACAGUCAGAACCUAUCCCACCCACUCAAAGGUGGAGGGAGACUACUCUCUCAUCCACCAGGGUGAAUUCCAACGUACAGCAGCUGAGCCAAGGGGCAAUAAGAAUACCCACACCUGCUCGGUGCCUUUCAUCGUGAGCAACUUCAGAGUGGAACACUGUCCAACCCCUCAAGAGGAAGGGAAGGGUACCAGAACCAAACCGUGUGUGGAGACAAGUUCAACUAUAUACUGUCGGAACUUCUCAACCUCACACACCAACUCAGGUUCAUUUGGUGGCUCGAGGCAGCUUCUGUACCGAGGGAUCGGAUCACCAAGGUCCCUGCCUUUGGGCACUGGCAAGCUCAUAUGUCACAUAAAACCUAUGGCCCCUGUUGAAGGUGGUAAGCCCAUGGGAAGAUGGACUGAGUACCAUGGGCGCAGGCCUGGCCAAUCAGGCGGUCGCCUUCAAGCCCCACCUCCUGGCCUGGAUCAGCUGGAAAGAGUUGGCCUCACAGUUCUGAGGUCCUGGGUUCAAUCCCGUACCCACCUGUUUGGAGUUUGCAUGUUCUUCUCGAGCCUGCGUGGGUUUUCUCCGGGCACUCCGGUUUCCUCCCACAUCCCAAAAACAUGCAACAUUAAUUGGACACUCUAAAUUGCCCCUCGGUGUGAUUGUGAGUGUGGCUGUUUGUCUCUAUGUGCCCUGUGAUUGGCUGGAAACCAGUGUAGCGUUUACCCCGCUUCCUGCAUGUUAACAGCUGGGAUAGGCUCCAGCACUCCCACGGCCCUCGUGAGGAUAAGCGGCUAAGAAAAUGGAUGGAUGGAUUGGAAACACAAAUCCUUCCACUACAAUAAGAUGACGGCUAAGGAGGGGUAAAUCCUUAUAUAAGAAUGAAACAUUAGUUAUGAGUGUUGAAUGGCGCUGUACCACGACACCUUGUGAGAGAAGGUGAGGACAAGAUCGAACCGGACAAAGACAGAAGAAGCAUGCUGGACAAGAGUCAUGAACCCAGCUGUACAACAAGUGCAGUGGGAUUGGACUAUGUAAAUUACAACUCUAUAGGACAAGAGUGUGAGUGAGGGGAUUCCUAAGAUAUUCUCAUAAUUAACAAUGAUUUGUUGCAAUAAGUGAGUGGCCCCCACACCCAGCGAAAGAGUUCCAGGCAUGUGUACCUGCAGCAAGGGUUUAAAUUGACACAGUUUUGCAUGCAAAAUGCCAUCCCCCAAGCCAAGCCCCGACUUAACACCUUGCAACUUUUUCCUGUGGUGCGGUUAAAGGAGCAAGUCUAUUCUACCACAAUACUUACUUUGGAAAAACAUGAAGCGUGAAUACAAGAAGUUAUGUGUUCACACCCACAAGAGUUCCUGGUGAAAUCUGUUUAUGCGGUUCUAAGGACGCUUAAGAAAUGUGUGGCUAAUGCUGGUGACCAUAUCAAAUUUUGAAUUUUAAAUACAACUUCAUGCAAUAUGCGUUCUUCUCCUGUUCACUUCUUGUAAGAAUUAUUGUUCAGAAAUAAAUUACAAGUACUUAAACACGGGCAGGAACUUUUCAUCACCCUGUAUUUAUCACUUAAACUCCUUUAUGUGUACCAGUAGCUAAUCAUCUCAAACUGGAAAUUAUGGUUUGUAAAGGGGUUGUAGAACUACCAAGAAGAAUUUUUAAAACUUUGCACCGUAAACGUCAAUAUAUUCAAUAGACUGUUCAAUUGUACUUUUUUUUUUCUGAUUUCACUCCAUACAUGAGGAACUGAACGUUCAGUAUGUUUUUCAAGAACACUUUAGUACUGAGGGACUGUAAAUUGGACCUGCAACCAAUGGCUUGUGAGACGGCUAUGUCAAGCUGCCCAACCCAGUUUCUGUUUUGAAACUUGCAUAUAUGACCUAAUGCAGGGGUGCUCAAUGCGACUGGUUGAUUGCGAGGCAGUUUCACUCGAUUGCGACGGCGUGCCGAGAAAAAAAAAAUACAUCAGCCGUAUUUGUUUUUAACUUUAGGUCAUUGCGCAUGUGCAAACAACGACAGUAUAAGAAAACACGCUGUCAGUGAGUCCCCCUCCUAUUUUAAGCUCUCGCUUAAGAAAUCUUAAACAUGAGUAUGCUGCAGUAAAGAAGACGAAAACGUAUCACUUUCAUGCAGAAUGGGAGGCGGACAACUUUUAUCUCAUUUUCGAAGUGCGUUUGCCUCAUCUGCCAGUGGAGUGAAAUGUGAACCAGCUUUUUCGAACUGUUUAUGGAAAAUAUGACACCUACAUUCCGCCAAAAACCAAGCUGAGAAUGAGAAAGCCACCGAAGCAUCGUUUCCGGGUUCGUCACAUCACACAUAAAAAAGGCAUAGCUGACUCGUUGUUACGAUCUUUUAAACAUAAGGCGGAAAUAUUAUCUUCAAUAAAAUCCCUGCAGCUAUAAAGGAGUACAGUUACACGGCGCUGUGAAGCCAUGGCUGAUGUGUGGAAGGACAUCGGAGAUUGUGUUUCUCACUGCAGUUGGACGUAUCCACUGACGUGAGUGACAUAGCCCAGAUAUGGUCUGACUUGCGGCUGCUCAAGUAAGCAUAAUACUGCAGAGUCCACCUGUUGAAAUACUCUGGAGAAAGACAAGGGAAAUAACCAACCUGUUCAUCGAAACGGUGUAACAUUGAGACAAAAAAAAAGUAUUAAAGCUAACAUGUCAAGGAAUCUCUUGUACCUCCCACAAUCAAAUUGAGGAUACGGGGCACCAGGAGCCAGGCCUGGAGGUGGGGCUCGAAGGCGACUGCCUGGUGACUGGGCCUGCACCCAUGGGGCUUGGCCGGGCACAGUCUGUGAGAGGGGUCAUAGGCCAUAGGGGUCGGGUGCGAUG
Molecule: long non-coding RNA, 4587 nt
Organism: Syngnathoides biaculeatus (alligator pipefish)
Lineage: Eukaryota; Metazoa; Chordata; Actinopteri; Syngnathiformes; Syngnathidae
Exons: 4
Source: RefSeq, a predicted model, not a curated record